RNAcentral lists this ribosomal RNA (505 nucleotides) under uncultured bacterium. Its description in RNAcentral is "bacterial SSU rRNA". It matches the Rfam family "Bacterial small subunit ribosomal RNA", at positions 28 to 526 of the family's 1533-position model. The record is from RNAcentral.
GAUGAACGCUAGCGACAGGCUUAACACAUGCAAGUCGAGGGGCAGCGGGGUCUUCGGACCGCCGGCGACCGGCGCACGGGUGCGUAACGCGUAUGCAACCUACCUUUCACAGGGGGAUAAUCCGGAGAAUUCUGGUCUAAUACCCCAUAACACAUUUUACGGCAUCGUAGAUUGUUGAAAUUUUCGGAGGUGAAAGAUGGGCAUGCGUGACAUUAGCUAGAUGGUGAGGUAACGGCUCACCAUGGCAACGAUGUCUAGGGGGACUGAGAGGUUAACCCCCCACACUGGUACUGAGACACGGACCAGACUCCUACGGGAGGCAGCAGUGGGGAAUAUUGCACAAUGGGCGCAAGCCUGAUGCAGCCAUGCCGCGUGUGUGAAGAAGGCCUUAGGGUUGUAAAGCACUUUCAGCGGGGAGGAAGGGUAUAGGCUUAAUACGUUUAUACAUUGACGUUACCCGCAGAAGAAGCACCGGCUAACUCCGUGCCAGCAGCCGCGGUAAGAC